Molecule: long non-coding RNA, 1271 nt
Organism: Acanthopagrus latus (yellowfin seabream)
Lineage: Eukaryota; Metazoa; Chordata; Actinopteri; Spariformes; Sparidae
Exons: 5
Source: RefSeq, a predicted model, not a curated record
UAUGUCAAGCACUUUGUAACCUUGUAUGGAUAAGUGCUAUGAUAUUUAUAUUAUAAUUGGUAUUAUUAUACAUUAUCCUUGAAGGUGACAGUAAUUUGGAAGCAAGGUGAUAAUGGUGAGGCCAGCAGGCGAGCUCAGAGCCAAUUGUUGACAUGACAUCCUUGACUUGAUGUGGCACAAAUCCAGCGCACCCUCUCUGAGGGGGCGGCGAUUUAAUCCAGCCCAUGUGUGGCCCCUCACCUGCAGCCUCACAACUCACCUGUUGAGCACUGAAGCUCUUCUGUAAACCCACUCGUGCCACCAUCGGUGCUCACGUAGCACUUUAUAAAGAAGCUAACCUGCCUAGAUUUUGACAGUACAGUUGAUGUAGGGACUUUGAGAAAGAGUUAUUUGUGUUUUAGGUGCUUCCUGUUGCUAGCUGCUGCAGCUAGUCAGCCACCUCUCUUGUUGUCUACAGGACUUACAGUCUACCAAGAUGUGAUGCUUCACCAAGUUGAGAGGAAAUGUUCUGGAAGACAUGGCAGCAGGAGGUCACGCCAAACUUGGUGCCCCCGGAGUUGCCUGGAGGACCUUUAGAAGUCAGGGCCAUCUUUCUUCAGAUCGCAGGCCGGGUGUUUAAAAGAAGAGGCAGAGUGCAAUAUCCAAAUCUGUUUCCCACUGGUGAUGUGGUUAAGAGGAAGAGUGGCCUUAAUGAGAUUUCCUGUGUAAGAAUGGAUCAGAGAAGUCUUGGCCGGAAAUUACAAAGCAGGAGAUGAGUGGAGAGUACGACAUCUGUGGGGAAUUAUCCAUCUCUGCCGAGACAGAAAAGCCUUGGAGGACCAUAAAGUCAGAGACCCAUCCAUGGAGGAGGCUGUUGGAAAAUCCCCCACCCAACAAAUGGUUCAGUCCAUCCCCACCUGUCUACAAGUCUACAAAACCUUUUUGCCAGGCUCUUUGGCCUGGGAACAUUUGCCUUUCUCUGAAAGUCCAACUGAGUUUUUGUGUGAGGAAAACAAAAGAUGUAGACAUUGUUUGUCAAACAAAUCCACAUCUAAAUGUGAAAAUCAGAAACAAACAGCAAAAAACAACCUGGAAAUCAGAUCACAAGUCAAGAACUUACCAAUGACCUCAUCUCCUGUUUGUCAAACUAACACAGAUAACUUUUGGCUGCAAUUGUCAUUUUCUCUUCCCCCGACUGCUCUCCACUUGAUCAGCUGUAACGUAAGUUUGUUAGUGACUUCGUACUGCUGCUACAUCCAAGGACCAAAUUAAAAUAUCAAAUUCUUGACAGA